GACGAACGCUGGCGGCGUGCCUAAUACAUGCAAGUCGAACGCACAGUUUAUACCGUAGCUUGCUACACCAUAAACUGUGAGUUGCGAACGGGUGAGUAACGCGUAGGUAACCUGCCUGGUAGCGGGGGAUAACUAUUGGAAACGAUAGCUAAUACCGCAUAAUAUUAAUUAUUGCAUGAUAAUUGAUUGAAAGAUGCAAUUGCAUCACUACCAGAUGGACCUGCGUUGUAUUAGCUAGUAGGUGAGGUAACGGCUCACCUAGGCGACGAUACAUAGCCGACCUGAGAGGGUGAUCGGCCACACUGGGACUGAGACACGGCCCAGACUCCUACGGGAGGCAGCAGUAGGGAAUCUUCGGCAAUGGACGAAAGUCUGACCGAGCAACGCCGCGUGAGUGAAGAAGGGUUUCGGAUCGUAAAGCUCUGUUGUAAGAGAAGAACGGGUGUGAGAGUGGAAAGUUCACACUGUGACGGUAUCUUACCAGAAAGGGACGGCUAACUACGUG
RNAcentral lists this ribosomal RNA (505 nucleotides) under uncultured bacterium. RNAcentral describes it as "partial 16S ribosomal RNA". It matches the Rfam family "Bacterial small subunit ribosomal RNA", at positions 28 to 507 of the family's 1533-position model. The record is from RNAcentral.